AGGGCAAGUCUGGUGCCAGCAGCCGCGGUAAUUCCAGCUCCAAUAGCGUAUAUUAAAGUUGCUGCAGUUAAAAAGCUCGUAGUUGAAUUUCGGGACCGAUAUAUCGGUCGUGCCUCGGUACGUACUGGUAUUUCGGUUUCUACCUUCUGACGAACCUUGAUGUCAUUAAUUUGGUGUUACGGGUAGUUAGGACUGUUACUUUGAAAAAAUUAGAGUGUUUAAAGCAGGCUCACGCUUGAAUACAUUAGCAUGGAAUAAUGAAAUAGGACGUUUGAUUCUAUUUUGUUGGUUUCUAGGGAUCGACGUAAUGAUUAAUAGGGAUAGUUGGGGGCAUUAGUAUUCAAUUGUCAGGGGUGAAAUUCUUGGAUUUAUUGAAGACUAACUACUGCGAAAGCAUUUGCCAAGGAUGUUUUCAUUAAUCAAGAACGAAAGUUAGGGGGAUCGAAGACGAUCAGAUACCGUCAUAGUCUUAACCAUAAACUAUGCCGACUAGGGAUCGGAUGAUGUUAAUUUUUUAAUGACUCAUUCGGCGCCUUACG
RNAcentral lists this ribosomal RNA (539 nucleotides) under uncultured Glomus. RNAcentral describes it as "SSU rRNA". It matches the Rfam family "Eukaryotic small subunit ribosomal RNA", at positions 552 to 1092 of the family's 1831-position model. The record is from RNAcentral. Lineage: Eukaryota; Fungi; Glomeromycota; Glomeromycetes; Glomerales; Glomeraceae.